This 219-nucleotide ribosomal RNA is filed under the name Clostridium perfringens. RNAcentral describes it as "partial 16S ribosomal RNA". It matches the Rfam family "Bacterial small subunit ribosomal RNA", at positions 1 to 215 of the family's 1533-position model. Lineage: Bacteria; Bacillati; Bacillota; Clostridia; Eubacteriales; Clostridiaceae. The record is from RNAcentral.
UUUAAAUUGAGAGUUUGAUCCUGGCUCAGGAUGAACGCUGGCGGCGUGCUUAACACAUGCAAGUCGAGCGAUGAAGUUUCCUUCGGGAAAUGGAUUAGCGGCGGACGGGUGAGUAACACGUGGGUAACCUGCCUCAUAGAGUGGAAUAGCCUUCCGAAAGGGAGAUUAAUACCGCAUAACGUUGAAAGAUGGCAUCAUCAUUCAACCAAAGGAGCAAUC